CCUGGCUCCAGUGUCUGGAUCCCACAACGUUAGGGUUCUUGCAGGCAGAGGUUUUGCACAGACUCUGCCACUCUCGGGCUCUGCCACACUGGGAUCCUAGAUGUCUCUGCUUUCAGGGUCCAGGUCGGGGAUCGGCUGGAGACCGUGUUUCUCCUGAGCGGGAAUGACCCGGCCAUUCAUCUCUACAAGGAGAACGAGGGGCUGCACCAGUUUGAGGAACAACCCGUGGAAAAUCUCUUCCCGGAGCUCACCAACCUGACCAGCAGUGUCCUCUGGCUGGACGUCCACAACCUCCCCGGCACAUCCCGGCGACUGUCAGCCCUCGGCUGUCAGAGUGGUUACGUCCGCGUAGCCCAUGUGGACCAGC
Long non-coding RNA from Myotis brandtii (Brandt's bat), 367 nucleotides. RefSeq lists it as uncharacterized. NCBI's taxonomy places the organism in Eukaryota, Metazoa, Chordata, Mammalia, Chiroptera, Vespertilionidae. The record is from RefSeq and is a predicted model, not a curated record. The transcript has 3 exons.